RNAcentral lists this transfer RNA (66 nucleotides) under Placopecten magellanicus (sea scallop). Its description in RNAcentral is "tRNA-Gly". The record is from RNAcentral. Lineage: Eukaryota; Metazoa; Mollusca; Bivalvia; Pectinida; Pectinidae.
CUACCUCUGGUGUAAAAAGCAUUUAUGCCUUCCAAGCAUAAGGUCCUUUUAGUUGAGGGGGGUGGU